RNAcentral lists this ribosomal RNA (301 nucleotides) under uncultured bacterium. Its description in RNAcentral is "partial 16S ribosomal RNA". It matches the Rfam family "Bacterial small subunit ribosomal RNA", at positions 509 to 808 of the family's 1533-position model. The record is from RNAcentral.
CAGUAGCCACGGGAACACAGAGGGUGCGAGCGUUAAUCGGAUUUACUGGGCGUAAAGCGUGCGUAGGCGGCUUCUUAAGUCGGAUGUGAAAUCCCUGAGCUUAACUUAGGAAUUGCAUUCGAUACUGGGAAGCUAGAGUAUGGGAGAGGAUGGUAGAAUUCCAGGUGUAGCGGUGAAAUGCGUAGAGAUCUGGAGGAAUACCGAUGGCGAAGGCAGCCAUCUGGCCUAAUACUGACGCUGAGGUACGAAAGCAUGGGGAGCAAACAGGAUUAGAUCCCCCGUAGUCCCUGUCUCUUAUACA